This 1351-nucleotide ribosomal RNA is filed under the name uncultured marine eukaryote. Its description in RNAcentral is "SSU rRNA". It matches the Rfam family "Eukaryotic small subunit ribosomal RNA", at positions 411 to 1774 of the family's 1831-position model. The record is from RNAcentral.
CACUUCUAAGGAAGGCAGCAGGCGCGCAAAUUACCCAAUCCUGACUCAGGGAGGUAGUGACAAGAAAUAACAAUAAACCGGCUUAUGCCGGUUUAAUUGGAAUGAGUACAAUUUAAACAUCUUAACGAGGAACAAUUGGAGGGCAAGUCUGGUGCCAGCAGCCGCGGUAAUUCCAGCUCCAAUAGCGUAUACUAAAGUUGUUGCAGUUAAAAAGCUCGUAGUUGGAUUUCUGUGGGGACGGAGCGGCCGGCCGCAACACGCGGUUCGAGCUAGCGCUUUCCCUACAUCCUGCCGCGAACCGUGCUACCAUUAAUUUGGUGGCGCCGGGGAUCGGCUCGAUUACUUUGAGAAAAAUAGAGUGUUCAAAGCAGGCCACAUGCCUUGAAUAAGUUAGCAUGGAAUAAUAACUAAGGACUUCGGUUCUAUUUUGUUGGUGUUCGGGACUGAAGUAAUGAUUGAUAGGGACAGUUGGGGCGGUCUGUAUUCUAAAGCGAGAGGUGAAAUUCUUAGACCUUCGGAAGACAAACAGCUGCGAAAGCGUUCCGCAAGGAUGUUCCCUUUGAUCAAGAACGAAAGUUGGGGGAUCGAAGACGAUCAGAUACCGUCGUAGUCUCAACUAUAAACUAUACCAGCUAGGGAUCGGCCAACGUUAUUCUAUACCGACUUGGUCGGCACCUUAUGAGAAAUCAAAGCAUCUGGGUUCCGGGGGGAGUAUGGUCGCAAGGCUGAAACUUAAAGGAAUUGACGGAAGGGCACCACCAGCCGUGGAGCCUGUGGCUUAAUUUGACUCAACACGGGAAAACUUACCAGGUCCAGACAUAGUAAGGAUUGACAGAUUGAUAGCUCUUUCUUGAUUCUGUGGGUGGUGGUGCAUGGCCGUUCUUAGUUGGUGGAGUGAUUUGUCUGGUUAAUUCCGUUAACGAACGAGACCCCAGCCUGCUAAAUAGCGCGCGUGAGCUUUGCUCGCGGCGAGCUUCUUAGAGGGACUAUGAUGCGCGAUAGCACAUGGAAGUUUGGGGCAAUAACAGGUCUGUGAUGCCCUUAGAUGUUCUGGGCCGCACACGGGCUACACUGGCGCCUGCAACGAGCAUAUCAGCUGGCCCGAGAGGGUCUUGGCUAAUCUUUUGAACCGGCGCCGUGCUUGGGAUUGACCUUUGCAAUUGUUGGUCAUGCAACGAGGAAUGCCUUGUAAACGCGAGUCAUCAGCUCGCAUUGAAUACGUCCCUGCCCUUUGUACACACCGCCCGUCGCUCCUACCGAUGAAUGUUCCGAUGAAAUUUUCGGAGAGCACCUGUGAACUUGGCUCUGCCUUGCGAACGGGAGGCUCAAAGUCACUUAAAUCUGAACAUUU